AGCGAGCGUUCUCAGAAACACACAGGCAUCUGCUUCCCCCUCACAAAGGCACAAGACACCCUGCUCAUAUUAACUUGCUCCUAAACACACACCCACUCUCCCUCCGGCUUCUGCUGGCCUUGUGCGUGCAUAUCACCCCAUUUUACGGACAGAGUCCACAGAGACCGCCCCUGCCCUACCCCCUACCUCUCCUUUCUUUGCUUCUCUCUCUUUCUCCCUCCCUCAUCCCUGGGCACCCGUUUGCCAGGGUUAUUUAUAGAAGCAAGCGAUAAAUUCAGUGUGUUUCUCGGCGCGCAAAGCUAUAAAUAAUGGCACAGAUCAUUAAACCCCGAGAGCAGGCCCAGCCGCCCCGCAAACAAGAUGAAGUGCAAACCACCACGUGAAAGAGAGAGCGGGAGGUACAAGGGAGAGACCCAGGCCCAGGGCCAUUAGGCCCCAGCCUGCACCCCUCAACCCAGGCCCAGUGAACUUGGGCCUCCAAGGCAUUCCCAGCAGAAUCUGGUGUGUCUACAUACAACCUGGAGCCCCUUCACUUGGGAAUGGGCUGGAAGGUGACAACCCAAAAGAACUCACACGAAGCUGCAGCACAGUGUGACAGGUGACAGUAUCUUCAGGACCUCCAUCUCCCCACUUUCUACUCCACAGGAUCAGAGAUGACCUACCAUCCAAGACCCACCCAUGAUAGAACCAGAACAAAUAAAGAAGUGGGCACUGGACAUGAACACCGCGAAGAUAAAGGAUCAUCUCAUUCCCCUCUGUCACUCCCUGCGGUGCCUAGCAUGGACAAUGACACAGCACCAUUAUCUACUGAGGAAAGAAGGGGGACACGAUGGAGCCCAGCUGCUGCAAUGAAGAAAGGCCUCAGUGGAGCCUGAGCUGCUAACACUGUCAUCACGUACCUCCAGUGACCAGAAUUUUGAGAAAAUAAACUCCAUUGUUUAAGCCAUCCA
Molecule: long non-coding RNA, 950 nt
Filed under: Cricetulus griseus (Chinese hamster)
Lineage: Eukaryota; Metazoa; Chordata; Mammalia; Rodentia; Cricetidae
Description: lncRNA (ENSCGRG00015043394.1)
Source: RNAcentral